GUGCCAGCAGCCGCGGUAAUACGUAGGGUCCAAGCGUUAUCCGGAUUUAUUGGGCGUAAAGAGCUCGUAGGCGGCUCGUCGCGUCCGGUGUGAAAGUCCAUCGCUCAACGGUGGAUUCGCGCCGGGUACGGGCGGGCUGGAGUGCGGUAGGGGAGACUGGAAUUCCCGGUGUAACGGUGGAAUGUGUAGAUAUCGGGAAGAACACCAAUGGCGAAGGCAGGUCUCUGGGCCGUUACUGACGCUGAGGAGCGAAAGCGUGGGGAGCGAACAGGAUUAGAUACCCUGGUAGUCCACGCCGUAAACGGUGGAUGCUGGAUGUGGGGCCCGUUCCACGGGUUCCGUGUCGGAGCUAACGCGUUAAGCAUCCCGCCUGGGGAGUACGGCCGCAAGGCUAAAACUCAAAGAAUUGACGGGGGCCCGCACAAGUGGUGGAGCAUGUGGUUUAA
This 446-nucleotide ribosomal RNA is filed under the name uncultured bacterium. RNAcentral's name for it is "bacterial SSU rRNA". It matches the Rfam family "Bacterial small subunit ribosomal RNA", at positions 505 to 949 of the family's 1533-position model. The record is from RNAcentral.